Long non-coding RNA from Chenopodium quinoa (quinoa), 683 nucleotides. RefSeq lists it as uncharacterized. The transcript has 2 exons. The record is from RefSeq and is a predicted model, not a curated record. NCBI's taxonomy places the organism in Eukaryota, Viridiplantae, Streptophyta, Magnoliopsida, Caryophyllales, Amaranthaceae.
GAUCUCUUCGGUACAGACUUGUUGUUAGUUACAACGGGUCUCUUACAUCACCUCAUGAAACAACCAAUUAUAAAAGAAAAAAAUGAUGAAAUGACUUUCUAUAAUAUUCCAUUGCCGCCUAUAGUUUUCCAUUCCCUUAUAAAUCACAAGUCACAAGUUCUUUCUCUAUCUCUCUCUCCUAAUUUACUCACCUUGAAAUUAACUCCAUAGCUUCUCUAAAGUUUCCAAUAAUCUAUAGACGGCUAUAGUCUCAUCCUUUCACAAACCCAAAAGGAUGGAGCAAUUACCCUCUCUAAGCUUGUACUUUUUAAUGAAUUGCAGUGGGAAGACGAUUAUCAGGGGACCCUUUGCUUUCUUCGCUGCUUUAUGCUGACGCAUGUGGGUGGUGUUGCUUAUUUUUGUCACCGUCGGAUCUGCGAUUGAGACCACUGUGUUUUAAAGAAUUUGUAAAAGGCACGUUCGUGACAAUUCCAGUAAUUGAAAUGCAUUGGGUGGAGAUGGUGACUUGGUGAACAAAAGUCUGAUUAUGAAAAGAAAAUAGAUGAUUAUGUGCGGUUUUGUUCAGCUACUUUGCUUCCCAUCACAAUUGACAAGUUUAUUAAUUGUUGUACUUUUUUUUAAUCAUAUCAAUUGCAAUACUAUGGCAGGGUUCUUGAAUGCUAAUUAAGUGUGUUUAUAUAACU